RNAcentral lists this ribosomal RNA (656 nucleotides) under Salmonella enterica. RNAcentral's name for it is "bacterial LSU rRNA". It matches the Rfam family "Bacterial large subunit ribosomal RNA", at positions 1 to 688 of the family's 2925-position model. Lineage: Bacteria; Pseudomonadati; Pseudomonadota; Gammaproteobacteria; Enterobacterales; Enterobacteriaceae. The record is from RNAcentral. RNAcentral also lists the same sequence under 3 other names.
GGGUUGUGAGGUUAAGCGACUAAGCGUACACGGUGGAUGCCCUGGCAGUCAGAGGCGAUGAAGGGCGUGCUAAUCUGCGAUAAGCGCCGGUAAGGUGAUAUGAACCGUUAUAACCGGCGAUACCCGAAUGGGGAAACCCAGUGUGAUUCGUCACACUAUCAUUAACUGAAUCCAUAGGUUAAUGAGGCGAACCGGGGGAACUGAAACAUCUAAGUACCCCGAGGAAAAGAAAUCAACCGAGAUUCCCCCAGUAGCGGCGAGCGAACGGGGAGGAGCCCAGAGCCUGAAUCAGCAUGUGUGUUAGUGGAAGCGUCUGGAAAGGUGCGCGAUACAGGGUGACAGCCCCGUACACAAAAGCGCAUGUGCUGUGAGCUCGAUGAGUAGGGCGGGACACGUGGUAUCCUGUCUGAAUAUGGGGGGACCAUCCUCCAAGGCUAAAUACUCCUGACUGACCGAUAGUGAACCAGUACCGUGAGGGAAAGGCGAAAAGAACCCCGGCGAGGGGAGUGAAAAAGAACCUGAAACCGUGUACGUACAAGCAGUGGGAGCACAGGUUUACCUGUGUGACUGCGUACCUUUUGUAUAAUGGGUCAGCGACUUAUAUUCUGUAGCAAGGUUAACCGUAUAGGGGAGCCGUAGGGAAACCGAGUCUUAAC